UACGAAGGGUGCAAGCGUUACUCGGAAUUACUGGGCGUAAAGCGUGCGUAGGUGGUUUGUUAAGUCUGUUGUGAAAGCCCCGGGCUCAACCUGGGAAUGGCAAUGGAUACUGGCAGGCUAGAGUGCGGUAGAGGGUAGUGGAAUUCCCGGUGUAGCGGUGAAAUGCGCAGAUAUCAGGAAGAACACCCGUGGCUAAGGCGGCUCACUGGACCACAACUGACGCUGAGGCGCGAAAGCUAGGGAGCAAACAGG
Molecule: ribosomal RNA, 252 nt
Filed under: uncultured bacterium
Lineage: Bacteria
Description: partial 16S ribosomal RNA
Rfam family: Bacterial small subunit ribosomal RNA
Source: RNAcentral